RNAcentral lists this unclassified non-coding RNA (687 nucleotides) under Hevea brasiliensis (rubber tree). Lineage: Eukaryota; Viridiplantae; Streptophyta; Magnoliopsida; Malpighiales; Euphorbiaceae. The record is from RNAcentral.
UGGUUCCAGUGACUACUCAGCUUCCCCUAAGAACCCCAAGUCCCGCAAGUCAUCGCACUCAGGGGAGCUACAGUCCCAUUUUUAUGCUAAUGCAGAUUCUAACGGAAGUGGACGACUUCACAUACCUGGUCUCAAUCCAACAAUAGAUUUCUAAGCCAUUUGAAUGAGCAUAUCGGCGUCCAGACAUACUAUAUUCAUUUGAUUCUGAAGCUACUCUUCUCAGAAUGUUGAAAUUUGGUUGGCCCAGGGAUGUGAUUAACAUAUGCGGACCAGAAGUUGUGCAUUACUCCAUGUCUUUUAGUUUUUGUGAUAUAGCAUAGGUUUAUAAUUGCAUUUUUUUUUUUACGAGGCUUCAGCAAGAAUAAUAGCAAGCCAAUAAUCCACCGUUUUUUUGGGCGAUUAGAAGCAGCAAGAGCUCUAAAAUAUACUUGUUUGAGGAAAUUAAGUUCUCUUUUUAGAUUUGUUUUACUGUACGGCGUUUUCCUAAUUCCUGUUGGGAUCUUUGGUUAUUGUGCUCCUCGUCAUCACCAUCAUCUAGUAUUAACCGUAAGAGAGUGGUGGUGUUAUCCUUUUUUUUCCACUAUCUGAUUCACGAUGUAAUUGAAGUAACAAUGUCCAUACACUGUUGGCUGUGAACAUUCUUCAGUUUUUCAGCACUCGGUGAAAUAAAAAGUGAGUUAUUCUGCA